This 13930-nucleotide long non-coding RNA is filed under the name Phaseolus vulgaris (common bean). RNAcentral's name for it is "long non-coding RNA (PVUL_LNC000982)". Lineage: Eukaryota; Viridiplantae; Streptophyta; Magnoliopsida; Fabales; Fabaceae. The record is from RNAcentral.
AGGCGGAAGGUCCUACUGCUGGAGAUGAAGAAGAAUCUGAGAAGUCAGUAUCUGAGGUGAAUGAUGAGGAUGAUGAUGAGGAGGGCAGUGGCGAGGUUUCUUUUUAUUCUUUUUUGCGUCAUUGCCUUGUGGUUUGUGGUAAUUAUUUGCAUGAUAUUUACUUGGUAUUGUUUAUUUCAUGCAGGAGGAGGAUGAUGAUUAGAGAGUGGACUGAUAACAAUUUAUGUAGGUUUUGAUGAUUUGGAUCAUCUUUUGUAGGUGGUCUGGUCAUUUCCUGAUGAUAAACAAACAUGUUUCUUUCUUCCAGAAAAAUAUUUCUCUGCUCCCUCCGUAAAAUUGUUUUGUCUGUCCAAAACGUGAAUAGUUGAAAGAUGGGAGAUCUUUAUUUGUACUUCUAAAUCCAACUGCUUAGUUAAGGGGUGCUUAUCUUUUGUAGAGCUUUUAGUUUGAUUUAGUUCUCUUGUUGAAAUCUGGUUAAGUUUGUAUGAAUAUAAUUGGCUUAUCUUCCCAUUUCUGCUGUAUAUAUACAUAUGCUAUGAUGCGUCACACUUCAUUCAUGUUGCUGUGCUGUAUGUUUUGUUUUUUUUUUUUGUGAUUUUAAUGUUUUGGGUGUUGUGUUCUGCACCUGAUGUAUGUGUUUUUUCAAUUUAAUGUUGCAUUGUAUCAACAUUCAUACGUGUUUUUCUAUUUGAAGUUGAAUUAUCUCAACAUUUAUUUUGAACUAAUGUUUGGCGAUAUUAAAACGUAGUUUUAAAACGAUAAAAGUUGCUGCUUUAAAAUGUAAUUGAUUAGUGUUGCUUUAAAACGAUAAAAGUUGCUGCUUUAAAAUGUAAUUGAUUAGUGUUGCUUUAAAACGUAAUUUUAAUAAAACUUUAUCGAAAUUUUAUAAUGGUGAGGUAUAUCCUUCAUCGUGUAAUCAGUUUACAUGUGUAUUUUUGUUGUUGUUGGAUCAUUUGACGAAUUUUGACUGAUGAUGAUGGUUGAUUGUAUAGUGUUUGUUGGUACUUUUCCAGUCAUGUAAUGCAUAAAAGCAUGAUCUCACAGAUUAACUGUUUCUAUUUUAUAUACAAAAGUUGUUUGUAGUUUUUCUUUCUUGUAAAAGUAUAUUUUGAAUAUUUUUCCGUUGGAAUUGUUCUAUACUUGUACUAUAAUUAUUUCAUAUACUUAAAUUUGAUCCAUUUAUAAUCCCUAUAGAAGACAAUUUAAUAUACUUUUGAUGUAUAUUAAUAUUUAUAAAAAAUAUCUUAAGUAAUUAUUUUUUAAGAACAUAUUUUUAUAAAAGAAAUUAGAUAUUAGUCUUCUGUUUGUUAUCUAUAUUAUAAUCUAGGUCGUAUUAUUUGGUUAGGGUUUUUUUGUAAUUUUAGCAAAUGUUUAAAUGUAUAGACAUGAAUAUGUAAUGGUAGUUGGGUAUUAAAUGUAUUCGCAUAAAUAUGUAAUGGCAGUUGGAUAUUAAAUAUAUAGUCAUUAAUUUGUAAAUCUGACUAUUGGAUAUUUAAGUAUACAAUCAUACAUACGCAAUAUUUAGUUAUAAAUUUUCAAAUUGACCAUGAAAUUAUUAAGAAUGCAAUUAAAUUAAUUUAAUGAGUUGAACUAUAUGUGUUUGUAUUUGAAGUAGUUUUUGAAUAUUUGAAGUAGUUUUUGAUUUAUUUUUGUGUAUAGAAUGAACAUUUUAGUAAUUUAGCAUAUUUUAAUAUUGUAUUAUAUUAGUGCAAAUUGUUCUGUUCCUUUUAAAACUCAUACCAUAAGAUUUGUGUUUGGAUUGGUUGUGAAUUUUGUUAAAUUAUUUGUGUUAUAAUAUUCUUUUUUAUCUUGUUUAAAUAUAUAUAUAUAUAUAUAUAUAUAAAUAAAAAUAUAUAUUUUAAAAAUUGAAAAUAUAUAUUGUGUGUUGUUUUAGUGUGAUUAAAAUGAUUUUUUUGAAUAAAUUUCUGAUAUUUCAAUUUUCUUUUGUAUAUGAUAUUUUGAUUUAGUUAUAUCAUUUGUUGGUUUUUCAUAUAUUUGUCAAUAUAAGGUUAUAAUGUAAUUAUAUUAUAACAUUUUUUAUAAUUAUUAUUUUUAUAUAUAAAGGGAUUUCCUUUUAACUGUUUUUUUUUUUAUAAAUUUUAUCCUCAUAUUAAUAUUUAUUUUAUUAUUUUAUCAUUCUUCUGAGUAGUUACUAAAUAUAUUAUGAUUUUUAUAAAAUUAUAUUUUGAAAACUAUUCUUUUUUCUUUUUAAAACUAAUAUUUUAAAAAAAUUAAUAUCUGUUGAGUUUUCUUUUUUUUUUUUACAUGUUUUUUAUUAUUUUAUUUAAUUAUUAUUUUGUAACUACUUGAAUUUGAAAUGGUAAAAUUAAAAAAUAUUACUUAAAUUGAAAAUUGAGAAAAAAAAACUAAUUGAAACAUCAGAAAUAUAUAAAAAAUUCUUUCUUUAAAUGUUUUUAAGUAUAUACAAUUUUAUUCCUAUAGGUAAAUAUCAAUAAAUUUGUUUAGAAGAUCGAAAAAGAGAUAUUUAAAAGAAUAAAGAGUAGGAGGAAGAAAGGAUGAUGGUUUGUUUUGAUGAGAAUAGAAGAGGUAAAUGAGGGUGUAAAACACAGGAAAAUUUCCUGUUUAUAAACACAGAAAAAAAAAAAAACGAAAAUCAGUGUCGUAUUUCGCUCUUUGCUUUCGUACACCUCGUCUUCCACGGCACACUCAUUUUGUUCCACAAAUUCUUCACCCAAUGCAGCAUCGACGCAACUCUUUGCUUCUAAACGUGAGUCUCUCACCUCUAAUUUUGUUACUUCUUUCUUUUGCUUAGGCACAAGUUGCUUUAGGUUGUUAAGGUUCUUCGCAAUACACCUUCUUUUGUUGUCAAUUUUUAAUUUUAAUUAUUAUUCGUUGCAUGAAAUUAAACUGAUCAAUCGCAAUUCGGCUGUUGCUUGGAUUUGAGAAUUAGCUCUUGGCUUUCUGAAUUAAUUUCCUUAGCAAUGCAAUUGGGUUCAGUUUGCGUUUAAGUAUUGGUGGAUGUUGAGAAAGAAAGGACAUAGGGAAGAAAAGGGAUUAACAUGCUCUUAAGGAUAAGAAAAAAUAAUCAUAUUUUAUUAUAUUUAUUUUUUAUGUAAUAUUUUUCAUAAUUAAUAAUAAUUGGGAUGAAUUUUUUAUUAUUAUUUAAUGAUAUCAUGUUUAUUAUUUAAAAAUAAAAAUGUAGAGGUUAUAAGGUUUUUACAUGCAUCUGCUGUUGUAAUUAUUAUACUGAAAACUAUUUUUAUUUCUUUUAUUCAGAUGCUUAAAAUUGACUGGUUAUAUAAUUGAAAAACGAUCAAAAAUUGAAAACUGACCCAUUCUAACUUGUUACUUUAGAUUUUGAUUUGAGUAAGUAAUGAUUUAUUAUUAUGUUUUCAUUUAAUAAUAUUUGUGUAGAGUUAAUCCACAAGUAAUAAGAACCUAAAAGUAUUGUUUAAUUGUUUGAUGAUAAAAGAAUGAAGAUAUGAGAACGUGUAUUUUGUUACUGUGAAUGAAAAAUAUAACCAAGAUUAUGAAACAAAAUAUUAAUGAUAGUCAGAUAUGAGAGUGAAACUUGUUUACUAUGGUUAUCAAUUUGUUUUUAUUAAAAUUAGAUACUAAAGGAGCAUUAUAAUUUUUAAUAAUAAAAUUAUAUAAUUGAUUUAUAAAUGAGUGAAAAUUAUAAAUAAUUAAUUAUAUUAAAAUAGUUUAAGACAGUUUUUUUAUUUCAAUAAUAUUUUAUUAUAACAUGUUUAACAUUUUUUUCUCAUAAAUCACUUUGAUUUCUUUUGUAAAAAUAUUUAGUCUGUGUAAUUUAAAGUUUAUAUUAAAUUUAAAAAUAUAAUCUUUUGUAAAUAAUAGUCUUUUUUGUUGUUGAGCCAAUUUAUUAAAGUAAAAAUAUAAUCAAAUUUUUAAUUUUAUUUGGUAUUGAAUUCUUCUAUAUCUUGGAUGCAAAAUCAGUACUAUUAUCUUUUAAUUUUAACAAUUAUAUAGUUUUAUACUUAUUAAAACUAUUGGUGAAGUUUAUUUGAUGUUUUAAUUUAUAUGUUUUUUAAAACUUUAUUUUAUUUUUUACUAGCAUAUAUUUAAUAGUAAAAUAUUGAAUACACACAAAAUUAAUUUCAAAGUGUGUGAGUUUAUAUUCAGUGUUAUGAUAUUGGACUUUUGCCCAUAUGAUGCAUUUUCAACUUUUACUAGAUUAGCUUGAAAAACUUUUUACUCAGUGCAUAUCAUUUCACCAAGUAUAUCUUUAUUUUUUAAAACUCACUAAACAUUUUGAAAUUGGGUUUCCAAAUUUUGUAAUCACAUACACAAUGUUAUUUUCUUAUUUAGUUUAUUUUCUCAUAUUUGACAUUUGUUUAUAUUUUUUUUUAUUUUGGAUUUUUUAUUAUGUCAUUUCUCUGUUUUUUAUUAUCUCAAAAUUGCAUUAUUUAUUAUUUUUAUCAUCAUUGAAUAGUUUUACAUAAAUUAAAUUAAUUUCAUUAAUCUUUUUUUGAAAAUGUAAUUUUUUAUUGUACAAGAUACUGUUUUGAAACAAUCAAAUUCAAGAAAGUUUAUUUUAACAGUGUUUUUCUACUUUUAAUUUUUUUUAUUUCUUCCCUAUAUUUUUUAAUAUAAACAAACUCAGGGAGAUGUUCUUAUGUAUAAAGUUUUUCAUCAUUUCACAGGUGAACAACAAAAAAUCACUAGUGAAGACAACUGAAAAAGAAACAAGUUCUUUAACUUCUGUCAUAUACAAAGAAAUGUCUUUCUUAUAUACCUCUACCUUAUUGUAGAGGAGAAUAAUGACUGUAUAUAAUCAUAUCUCACUGCUGCUUAAACAUUCAUACUACUUAAUCAUAUUUGCUUUACUUAUAAUAUGUUCUAUGAAAGAAACAUUUCAUAACUAGUUGAAUGAAAUUGGUGUAUGCAUUUGCUAAGAACAUAGUUCUUUAUUGCAAUGUAGGCACAUAUAGUUGAAAUUUCAUAGGUUCUUUCAGUCAUUAUUUUCAAGAAAUGGAUAAUCUGUGUAUCCAACAACAGGAUCACUGGUGUAAAAAGUUCUUCUAUCAGGCUUGUUCAAUUCAGCAUCCAUUUCAAAUCUCCUUGGUAGAUCUGGAUUAGCCAAAAACAAGCGUCCAUAAGCCACCAAAUCUGCACCAUCAUCGGCAACCACUUUGUUUCCACCACUCUUAUUGUACCCCCCUGCAACAAUAAAGGUUCCACCAAAAGCCUUUCUGAUAGGCAACAAGGACAUAUUGGUCUCACACUUUUCAAACAUUGUAAUCAUCCUGGGUUCAAUGACAUGACAAUAAAGAAUGUCCAAUUUGCUUAAGGAUUGUGCCAUAUAAAUGCCCAAUGCUUGAGGGUCAGAGUCUUUGCAAUCACAAUAGUUAGCAAAAGGAGACAGUCUAACACCAACUUUCUCUGAUCCAAUCUCAUCAACUAUUGCCUUCACAACCAUGAGUGGAAAUCGACAACGAUUCUCUAAGCUACCUCCAUAUUCAUCAUCUCUGUCGUUCACAUGGUCUUUAAGGAACUGCUCAAUUAAGUAUCCAUUGGCUCCAUGUAUCUCCACACCAUCAAUGCCUGAAUAAAUUACCAGUUGAAUCACACAUAUAUUGACUUUGUCACAUUAUCUUCUUCAUUAACAUGAAGUUUUUAGUAACACAAUUUUUUAUUAAAUAUGAUUGAGUAUAAAUAUAUCACUUAAGCACUUUAGCAUAUCACAUGCAUGCAAGUAUGUAGGUAACAUUUUGUAGAGUCAAAUCACAUUUUGAAUGAGGAACUAGAAGAAGAAGAGGAAUCUGUUGAGCAAAAGUUACUACCAGCUUCUAUAGCAUUUUUUGCUGCCAUUCUGAAGUCAUUGACAAUCAUAGGUAUUUCAUCUGUUCUGAGAGGACGUGGAGGGGGGUAUUUAGUGCUGCUACCUUCAAUUGCCUUGUUUGUACUUGAAAUUGGAGGUUCUCCAUUUGGCUGAUACACUGUUCAAUAUAUAUUAUCAAUGUUUACCGCAUCAUUCGUGCAAAACUUCAAAAUAAUUAAUGAAGGUUGAAAUUUAAAUGAAAGUUCAGAGACACCAUCAUAUGCACUAUAGUACUGUCAUAUAGAGUUUCUAGUGAAGGGGAAUAAAUACAAAUAUGAAUACCAUAGUUGGAGACUCUUCCAGCAUGCCAAAGUUGGCAAAAGAAUAUACCCCCUUUCUGGUGAACAGCUCUCACAAUUGGUUUCCAUGCUUCCACUUGUUCUCUUGUCCAAAUGCCUGGUGUAUUUGGGUAUCUUUAACAAGGAAAAAAGAUGCAACAAAUGAAUUAAUCAAAUUUCUGGGUACCAAAGCUUUUUGUGGUUGACCAGUUUUGAAAAACAUGUUAGUUUAUGUUUCUUCCUUUUUGCCAAUGUGUCUAGUUUCUGAAAUUCCUAGGAAUCAUACAUUGAGGUUAUUCACUUGAGAAAAAUACAGAAAAAAAUGAAAAGAAUGGAAGAUAAGACUACCCUUGUGCAGUUUCUGACACCCCUGAGGCUUCUCCAAUCAAAAGUCCACCCUUUGUUGUUCGUUGAGAAUAAUAGAGAGCAGCAUGAGGCUGAGCCACGAAGUUGUAAGAUCUUGUUCUUGUUAAUGGUGCCAGAACAAUCCUACAGCAUGGAACACAUAUUAACCAUUUCUCUAUACACUGAGUUAGAAUUUGGUUUGAGGAACCAAUAUGUGGUGAUCAAGGUAAUAGCCAUGUCAAUUUACCUGUGAGAUAGAUUGAAUUUUCCCAUCUUGAAAGGGGUGAGAAGGGGUAUCACUUCCCUUCCAUUAACCACCUUCUCCUUCUCUUCCAUUGUCUCCUUGUUCAUCAUCCUUUUCCCACCUUGCUAAUUCAGAAUCUGUGAUGGAAUAUGUGGACUCUUGCUCUUCAUUCUUAUAGUAAAUCAAAAUAGUUGUCUUUUUAACUUUUUUUUUAUCUUUUUUCUGAAAGUCAUAAUAAAUCCAAACGAAUUUAUGUGGACUGUUAACUACUAUAUAUUUUGCCUUGAGUUAAUCAAUUUGCAUUUAUUAUUAUAUCUUUUUUUUAUUAGAAAUAUAUUUGUUUUUAAUACUAUUAAUUGUUUUUCACAGGAUUUAAGAGAAUGAAUUCUUUAUUACUAUUUACACUUUUAUUUUUCCAACUAACAUUUUAUUUUUAUUUUUCUAUCUAGUGUCAUUUAGAAAGUAAAAAUAAAUAAAUUAAUAAAUUAAAUAAAAAAUAUAGUUUUUUUUUAAUUUUUUAUUUACUUUUAAAAUCGUGCUAGACAGAGAAAUAAAAACAAAAAGAUGUUAGAUAUGAAAGUAAAAAACAAAUGGUGAUAGAUGAGAAAAUAAAAGUAUAAAUAGUGCUAGACGAGGAAUUGAAUCAUUUAAGGUAUUUUAUUUCUUUUUCAAUAAAUUUAUUAUGUGUAAUAAUGUAUUGACAACCCAUAUUUUUUAUACAACUACAUUACAAUUCUUAAUAUUAUUAUUUUAAUAUUUUUUUAUAUCAUUUAAUUUUAAAUUUACCCUUUAUCAUAUAUAUUUAUUUCUAAAUUCAUUACAUCAAGACUUGUAUACAACUCAAUGGGUAGUCAAAGUAUCAUUUUUCUUUUGUUAUUUCAUAUAAAAAUUGAAAUUUUAGAUAUUAUUAAAUACUAUUUAAUAUUAUUAAUGUUAAUAAAAAUUAUUAAUGUUAUUAAAUAUUAUUAAUGUUAUUAAAUAUUCUUAAUAUUAUUAAAUAUUAUCCAUAUUAUUAAUAUUAAUAAUAUAAUACUAAUUAUAUUAAUUUUAUAAUAUUAAUAAUAUGUAUACUUAUUAGUUAUGAUUAAAUAUUAUUUAUGAAUAUUAAUUAUGAUUUUGUAAUUAUUGAUAUUAUAAUAAUAUUUUUAAUAUUAAGUAUAUAAUUAUUAUGAUAAUAGUUGGUAGGUAGUAGAGAUCCGUAGGUAAAAAUUGGUAGGUAAUAAGAUUCGUUAGUAAUAGUUAGUAGGUAAUGUUGAAUUUACCUACAAAUUCAUAAUCUGUAAGUAAUAUCCACAUUCCGUAGGUAGUGCUGAAUUUACCUAUGAAUUCAGAUCCAUGGAUAAAAAUUCAUAGAUAAUACUAUUUUUUUUGUAGUGAGAAAGAAAAAUAAUUUUUUACACAAGUUAUUUGAAGUUUUUAUUUUCUUAUCAUUUUAGAGUUAUUGUCCUGAUAUUUGUUGAAAAAAAUUAAAAUUAUGUUGAUGAGUAUCUUAUCACGAAUAAUUGAAAGUGAGUUUAGUAUAUAAUAUAAUCAUUGUUUUUAGUUAUUCUUCACUGUUAUGCCAAUUGAUGUCCACUGCUAUGAAACAUAAUCUCCUUCCCUUUUUAAAUGAUGGCCAUUUUUGAAUUUAGCUUUCUAAUUCAUUUUUCCCUUCACAUACUUUGAAUGAUUUUGUUGUGCAUUGUAUUUGUAGAGAAAAGAAACCGUUGACACUUUUCUCUCUCUCUUUUUUAUCAUUUGAGUUUUAUUUGUGCAUUGUAUUUAUCUCCUUAAAGAAAAUAUUAUGAGUGGGGAUAACUCUAAAUCAUAUUACAAUUAAAAAAAUAAAUAAUUUUAAAAUUGCAUUGUGCUACAUUAUAUAUGUAAACUAGUGUAAUGUGUGUCAUUAUAUUUGUAAACUAGCGUUUUUAGUGUGUAAUGAUCAAAAUAACAUUUUAAAUAUAUUAUAGGUUGAAGAUUUCACAUUAUUUAAAAAUUAAAACAUUUAAUAGUAUAUAAAUAGAUACCAACUUCACUUUAAAAACCGAUUUUAUGAAAUUUAGUUAUACAAAUUAAAAAGAUUAAUUCUUUAUAUUUUUUUAUAUUUAAACUCAAAAUUAUGUUUAUGUUAGCCAAAUAAGAUAUUUCAAUGUGAUUAGAAGUUUGUUGACAUUAAUAAAAAAAAAAUCAAUAAUUUAUAAAAGGAAUGGCUUGGUGGGUAUGAGAGAAUUAUAAAAGUUGGAGGAAGAGUGGAGAAGGUCUUCUUUUUAACAUAUCUUUUUUUAUCACAUUGGUAAGUGGUGAUAGGCCAUAAGAUUUGGGUGGAGAGUGAAAGCUUUCAUGAUAGACUACAUUUAUUUAGCAUAUCUUAAUUAAGGAUUUCAAUGUUCUCUUUUUCUUAAAGUGUAAUCUUCUUCUAACACUUCUUAAUUGUUGUAAAAAUGGAGAGAAGUAUAAUAUAUUCUCAAUACUAAGAUAUGCCAAAUUUUCAGUAUUUUUUUUUCACUAAAGAUAUAAUAAAGAUAUAAGAGACUUUCAACUUGAUAUAAUGAGAUUUGACAAAGUUCAAGGUAAAAUAUUACGUGAACAAAAAGUUUGACAAAACAUGAUAAAAUUACACUCAAUUUAGAUACGUCCAAAGUCUUUACCGUGAAAAAUCAAUAAUUUGAGUAAUUCAAUAACUUCAACAUAUAAAGACUUUUGAACUUCAAGAAAAAUAAAAAAACUACAAUCUUACUUCCACGAAAAAUACUAAUAUGGAUUAAAAAAUCUUAAAGAAAAAUAAAGAAAUUACAACCUUACUUCCACGAAAAAUAACAAUAUGGACUAAAAAAUCGAGACAUCCUCUAGCAAUACCAUUUGUAUUGAUCUUUUGUCCAAUUAAUAUAAAAAAAACUUUGAAAGAACUAAAAUAGACAAAAAAAAAAAAAACUCUUUCCACCUUGUGACAACAUAAAGAAAUUUUAAACAUGGAAAAUAAAAAAUGUCAUCAUGUAUUUUGUGGAAGCAUUACCUAUUAUGCUUAUAUAGCCUUCGAUAAUAUAGAAAAACACAUUGUUUCUAUGUAUACGAGUUUAACAAAUGUUAAAUCUAAUUAUGAUGGAGAUUGUAUUUAAGGUAUGAUAAUUGUAUUUUAUCUAAUGAAAGCUUUUUGUAAACCAUUCGUUUAAGCAAUGUAUUGUGAAAAAAAGGAAUGCCCCUCAUAAUUAAUUGUCAAAUAGAAAGAGUUAUAUAUAUUAAGGAAUGUGAAAAUUAUAUUAGUAAGCAUAACUAUUACCAAUUAUUAUUACUGACUUAGUAAGUUAUUUUCAGGUUUUUUGAUCAUGAUGGGUUAUUUUUUUUGUUUUCACCAAAAUGGAGUCUGUUUAAAAAAAUUACAAAUUUAGACAAGUCGUGCCAAUUCGGCACGACUUCAUAUGCAGAAGUCGUCCCAAUUAGGCACGACUUCUGCCCUGUCAUACUAGUCGUGUCAACUUAGCACGACUUCUGUCACGUCAUAAUUUUAUUUUAUUUUUAUUUAAUUGUUUAUAUAUUGGGUAGUAAGUUAUGUAAUGUUAAAAAUUAAUUUGAUACAUAAUUUUCUAAGAGUGUUAGUUUUAAGGAACAAAAAAUUGGAUAAUUGUGUAUGGAUCAUGUUUGAAUUGAAUGAAUAAAUAAAUAAUUUACUUCUAGCUCAACUUUAUAGUUUUAUUUUAUAUCUUGUAAUGAAUCUUACUAAUUUGUUUAGUUCUAAUUAAUAAUCUCUUCUCAUCAUUACGUGUUCUGUAAAAUCAUUACUUCUCAAGCUAUUUAUUUUGCAAAUUCACAACAAUAAUUCUCUAUUUAUUUUCCAAAUACAAUAAAUUUUCAUUUAUGUAUUUAUUUCCAAAUUCAAUAACAAUUUUCUUCAUUUUUUAAUUAAUCAAAUAAUCAAGUUAUUGUAUUACAUUACCGUCAAACAUGAUCCAUACACAAUUAUCCAAUUUUUUGUUCCUUAAAACUAACACUCUUAGAAAAUUAUGUAUCAAAUUAAUUUUUAACAUUACAUAACUUACUAAAAAAAUAAAAAAGAUUAUGACGUGGCAGAAGUCGUGCCAAGUUGACACGACUUUAGUAUGACAGGACAGAAGUCGUGCCUAAUUGGAACGACUUUUGCAUAUGAAGUCGUGCCGAAUUGGCACGACUUGUCUAAAUUUGUAAUUUUUUUUAAACGGACCCCAUUUUAGUAAAAACAAAAAAAAAAAAACCCCAUCAUGGUCAAAAAACCUUAUUUUCAUUUAAGUUAAAAGAAUUUGCAAUGUAGUUAAAAAUGAUAAUAACAUAAUCUAUACCUAUAUAUAAAGGGGAUUCCUCUCUUUAACUGUUCUCAAUUAUUUUCCUAUUUUAUCCUUAUAUUAAUAUUUAAUUUUAUUACUUUAUUAUUGACAUUGCGUCAUUUUCUAUUUUUUUAAAAAUAUAUUAAAACAGUUAUCACCACUACAAGAAAAUUAUUAAAUAAAAAUUAAUUUUAGUGACUAAAUUAGAGAUCAUUUUAUAGACUAAAAAAAUAUUGGUUUCUAUUAUUGAUAAAUAAUUUCUAAAUUGAUAUCUAAUUAGAUACCAAGAUUUUUGCUACCAAAUUUAGAAUCUAAAUAAUUGGUAGUUAAAAUCUUGGUAGCUAAUUAGAUAUCAUUUUAAAAAUUAUUUAUCAAUAAUAGAAAUUAAUUUAGAAACUAAUAAUUUUUUUGUCUCUAAAAUAUUUCUAAUUUAAUUACUAUAACAAAUUUUUUAUCUUUAAAAUUAGUUUUUAUUUAAUUUUUUUCUUGUAUGGCACAUGCAAUUUUGAAUGUAGAACAAUUUUUUUUUAAAAAAAAUUAAUUUUCUAAAAUAUAUCUUUAUUUCUUCAAUUUUUACGGACAAUUGUUGUUUUCUAAUUUUGAAUUUUUGGUAUUUUAUCACCGUAUUUUCUCUUUUCGCUUUUUCUCACUUUAUCUCUCUUCUUCCUCAAAGAUACAUAUAAUAAUAGUAAAAAAAAAAAAAAAAAUUUGGAUAUAUUCGCUCUCUGCACCUGUGUUCCCUAGUAUAUAAAAAAAAUGAUUAGUGUAAUUAUUGUGCUCAUAUUUUUUUUAAGCCACGUCCAUUUUUAAUUUUUUUAAGUAAUUUUUAAAGUCAAUUAUUAGUAUUUAAUUAUAUAAUCAAGAGUUUUUCCCUGGAUUUGUAAAGUCGAAAUAAAUAUAUUAAAACACGAGUGCAAUUAAUAAUGAAGAAAAGGAAAAAUUGGUACGUCAUGAUAAUAUUAUUUUUUAUUUCACUAGACACCCAUCUCCCUCCCACAAACAAAAUAUAUAUAUAUAUAUAUAUAUAUAUAUAUAUAUGAAUACCAUAAAUAGGGACAUUUUAAGUAACUUAAUAGUGUUUUGGAUGGUAGUCUUAUCCACCAAAAGUUUUCAGACACAUUUGUUCCCCAUCAUACUCAUAAUUUCAAUUACAAUAAUAUUACAACUUAUUAUUAUAUGACAUUAAAAUUGUAUUACUAUAUUACUUUUAACAAGGAUGUCUUUAGAAUUUUUUAACAUUAAAAAUAUAAACCAUUAAAAAAUACCUUGCAUUAUAAUAUUUGCAUUUUAUUAUAAAUUCAAAAUAUAACUUACUUAUUUAAAAUAUUUAUUUAUUAUUAAUGUAAUUACAAAAUAACUAGUUUUGUCAAACAAACCUUAAUUAUUUGAAGGUAGCAACUAAGAGUGAGAAUGAAAUGUUUAUAGUGUUAAUGAAUUUAGUUCUUUCCUUGGAUUCAAACAUCAAAUUCUUUGUGAAAUAUCAAUUAUAUUAAAUCCAUUGGGCAUUAGCAAGUUUUAGUGUUAUUUUCUUGUUGUUCAAUCAUAUAAAUAACCUUUCUAAAAACAUUGAAUUAUAUAUUGGUUGAGAUGGAGAAGGGUUGGUAAAGAGAAAAAAGUAUUCAUGCAUUUAGCACAGUUUGCAAAUAUAUAUUCAAUUAUUAUGAAUGGCAAUGAUAACAUUAUCUUAUCUUAUUACUAAAGACAAUCCACUGAUUCCAUUCUUUGUAUGCCCAAUAGUUAGAGGCAUGUCUGCCCUUCUUUCAGGGACUACUUCAUUAUUAUGCACUUGAAUACAGAUAUCUAACUACAUUCAAUUUCCAUUAUAAACUUUUUUUAAACUUAAUUAUCUUUUUUCAUUUCAUUUAAUCCAUUUACUAAUAAAAAUUUAAAUAAAGUUCCUCAAUAUUGAAAAUGUUAUUUUAAAUUUUAAUUGAAUAUCUCAAUUAUUAAAAAUAAAUCUUUCCCAUAUUCAAAUUAAUGUAACUGGACUAAGCCAUGAAUAACUAAUUUUAAUUCAACAUAUGAGAAUCUCUUAUUAACUCAUGCUCAUGCUUGUGCAUAAUAUUAUACAUUUAUGAAUGAUUAUGCAUUAUAUUAUAUAUUUAUCAUAUUAUAUAUUUAUGGAUCAUCUUAUAACGGAUCCUAUAAUAAAAUUGAAUAAAAUUUAAAUAAUUUUAUUAAAACAAACUUUAAAUGAGUAUAAUAUUACUAGCGAAAACACGUAUAUUGUUCUCUUUUACCAACUUUCAAAAUGAUAGAAAUUUAACAUAAAUAAUUUUAGAUGAGUCAUAAAUAAAAAAGUAAAAAAUAACAUAUGGAAAAGAAAAAUGAUGAAUUUCUCUGGUAGAGUCUCUCUUAUUCCAUUAGUAGUUUUGGGAUCGAAGAGUGUGAUGAUGUUCACGUUGCUUGAAAUGGAGUGAAGAGAGUGAUUGAAAAUUAAUGUUAUUUUAUUUGAUAUGUGAGAUUUGGAGUAGAAACAUGUGAGAAUAUACACUCUCUUUCUUCCGGUUGUUGUCUUAAAAUAAAGAAUUAAGAAAAGAGUGAAAGAAUCAGUUUACCUAUAAAAAGUGUACAUUAAUAUUAAAUUAAAAAAUAGUUUUAUUUUUUAAGUAAUUCAUAUGAAAUGACCAAAUACUUUAUUGUACUAAUAAAAUGAGAUAUAUUAAAUAAGGAUAAAAUAAAAAAAAAUUGUGUAAAAAAAAAAAAAUAGUAAAAUAUCCCUUUUAUAUAAUAAUAUAUUAUUAUAAAAUAAAUUUUAAAUAUAACUUAACCAGUAAUUUUAUAUGUGUAGUACUGAAAUCUCCAAGAGCUUAUUAUUAAAUUGAUUUUUGUAGUCAUAUAUUCUAAUGAGUCAUAUAAUCUACUAUUUUUAUCAUUUCCUUUUCACAAUUGCUACUCUUUCUUGCUCAUUCUAUUUUUUUUUUUUAGAACUAUGCUUAGCCAACUCAAGCUUGACUAUCUACCAUCCAAAACCUUCAUCCAACAU